AGAGUUUGAUCAUGGCUCAGGACGAGCGCUGGCGGCGUGCUUAACACAUGCAAGUCGAACGGUGAGGCCCUUCGGGGUACACGAGUGGCGAACGGGUGAGUAACACGUGGGUAAUCUGCCCUGCACAUCGGGAUAAGCCUGGGAAACUGGGUCUAAUACCGAAUAGGACCACAGGACACAUGUCCUGUGGUGGAAAGCUUUUGCGGUGUGGGAUGGGCCCGCGGCCUAUCAGCUUGUUGGUGGGGUGAUGGCCUACCAAGGCGACGACGGGUAGCCGGCCUGAGAGGGUGUCCGGCCACACUGGGACUGAGAUACGGCCCAGACUCCUACGGGAGGCAGCAGUGGGGAAUAUUGCACAAUGGGCGAAAGCCUGAUGCAGCGACGCCGCGUGGGGGAUGACGGCCUUCGGGUUGUAAACCUCUUUCACCAUCGACGAAGGUCCGGGUUUUCUCGGGCUGACGGUAGGUGGAGAAGAAGCACCGGCCAACUACGUGCCAGCAGCCGCGGUAAUACGUAGGGUGCGAGCGUUGUCCGGAAUUACUGGGCGUAAAGAGCUCGUAGGUGGUUUGUCGCGUUGUUCGUGAAAUCUCACGGCUUAACUGUGAGCGUGCGGGCGAUACGGGCAGACUUGAGUACUGCAGGGGAGACUGGAAUUCCUGGUGUAGCGGUGGAAUGCGCAGAUAUCAGGAGGAACACCGGUGGCGAAGGCGGGUCUCUGGGCAGUAACUGACGCUGAGGAGCGAAAGCGUGGGGAGCGAACAGGAUUAGAUACCCUGGUAGUCC
This 783-nucleotide ribosomal RNA is filed under the name uncultured bacterium. RNAcentral's name for it is "bacterial SSU rRNA". It matches the Rfam family "Bacterial small subunit ribosomal RNA", at positions 8 to 796 of the family's 1533-position model. The record is from RNAcentral.